This 464-nucleotide ribosomal RNA is filed under the name uncultured bacterium. RNAcentral's name for it is "bacterial SSU rRNA". It matches the Rfam family "Bacterial small subunit ribosomal RNA", at positions 28 to 492 of the family's 1533-position model. The record is from RNAcentral.
GAUGAACGCUGGCGGCGUGCUUAACACAUGCAAGUCGAACGAAGCACUUUAUUUGAUUUCUUCGGAAUGAAGAUUUUGUGACUGAGUGGCGGACGGGUGAGUAACGCGUGGGUAACCUGCCUCAUACUGGGGGAUAGCAGCUGGAAACGGCUGGUAAUACCGCAUAAGCGCACAAUGUUGCAUGACAUGGUGUGAAAAACUCCGGUGGUAUAAGAUGGACCCGCGUCUGAUUAGCUAGUUGGUGAGAUAACAGCCCACCAAGGCGACGAUCAGUAGCCGACCUGAGAGGGUGACCGGCCACAUUGGGACUGAGACACGGCCCAGACUCCUACGGGAGGCAGCAGUGGGGAAUAUUGCACAAUGGAGGAAACUCUGAUGCAGCGACGCCGCGUGAGUGAAGAAGUAAUUCGUUAUGUAAAGCUCUAUCAGCAGGGAAGAUAGUGACGGUACCUGACUAAGAAGCU